RNAcentral lists this ribosomal RNA (454 nucleotides) under uncultured bacterium. RNAcentral describes it as "partial 16S ribosomal RNA". It matches the Rfam family "Bacterial small subunit ribosomal RNA", at positions 28 to 507 of the family's 1533-position model. The record is from RNAcentral.
GAUGAACGCUGACAGAAUGCUUAACACAUGCAAGUCAACUUGAACUUCGGUUUGGGUGGCGGACGGGUGAGUAACGCGUAGAGAACUUGCCUCACAGCUAGGGACAACAUUUGGAAACGAAUGCUAAUACCUGAUAUUAUGAUUUUAGGGCAUCCUAGAAUUAUGAAAGCUAUAUGCGCUGUGAGAGAGCUUUGCGUCCCAUUAGCUAGUUGGAGAGGUAACGGCUCACCAAGGCGAUGAUGGGUAGCCGGCCUGAGAGGGUGAACGGCAACAUGGGGACGGAGACACGGCCCUUAUUCCUACGGGAGGCAGCAGUGGGGAAUAUUGGACAAGGGACCAAGAGUCUGAUCCAGCAAUUCUGUGUGCACGAUGAAGUUUUUCGGAAUGUAAAGUGUUUGCAGUUGGGAAGAAAAAAAUGACGGUACCAACAGAAGAAGUGACGGCUAAAUACGUG